RNAcentral lists this ribosomal RNA (440 nucleotides) under uncultured bacterium. Its description in RNAcentral is "partial 16S ribosomal RNA". It matches the Rfam family "Bacterial small subunit ribosomal RNA", at positions 338 to 795 of the family's 1533-position model. The record is from RNAcentral.
CCUACGGGGGGCAGCAGUGGGGAAUAUUGCACAAUGGGGGAAACCCUGAUGCAGCGACGCCGCGUGAGUGAAGAAGUAUUUCGGUAUGUAAAGCUCUAUCAGCAGGGAAGAAAAUGACGGUACCUGAUUAAGAAGCCCCGGCUAACUACGUGCCAGCAGCCGCGGUAAUACGUAGGGGGCAAGCGUUAUCCGGAUUUACUGGGUGUAAAGGGGGCGUAGACGGCAGCACAAGUCUGGAGUGAAAUGCCGGGGCUUAACCCCGGAACUGCUGUGGAAACUGUGCAGCUAGAGUGCAGGAGAGGUAAGUGGAAUGCCUAGUGUAGCGGUGAAAUGCGUAGAUAUUAGGAGGAACACCAGUGGCGAAGGCGGCUUACUGGACUGUAACUGACGUUGAGGCUCGAAAGCGUGGGGAGCAAACAGGAUUAGAUACCCGGGUAGUC